RNAcentral lists this ribosomal RNA (1530 nucleotides) under Escherichia coli. RNAcentral describes it as "bacterial SSU rRNA". It matches the Rfam family "Bacterial small subunit ribosomal RNA". The record is from RNAcentral. Lineage: Bacteria; Pseudomonadati; Pseudomonadota; Gammaproteobacteria; Enterobacterales; Enterobacteriaceae.
AGAGUUUGAUCAUGGCUCAGAUUGAACGCUGGCGGCAGGCCUAACACAUGCAAGUCGAACGGUAACAGGAAGCAGCUUGCUGCUUCGCUGACGAGUGGCGGACGGGUGAGUAAUGUCUGGGAAACUGCCUGAUGGAGGGGGAUAACUACUGGAAACGGUAGCUAAUACCGCAUAAUGUCGCAAGACCAAAGAGGGGGACCUUCAGGCCUCUUGCCAUCGGAUGUGCCCAGAUGGGAUUAGCUUGUUGGUGGGGUAACGGCUCACCAAGGCGACGAUCCCUAGCUGGUCUGAGAGGAUGACCAGCCACACUGGAACUGAGACACGGUCCAGACUCCUACGGGAGGCAGCAGUGGGGAAUAUUGCACAAUGGGCGCAAGCCUGAUGCAGCCAUGCCGCGUGUAUGAAGAAGGCCUUCGGGUUGUAAAGUACUUUCAGCGGGGAGGAAGGGAGUAAAGUUAAUACCUUUGCUCAUUGACGUUACCCGCAGAAGAAGCACCGGCUAACUCCGUGCCAGCAGCCGCGGUAAUACGGAGGGUGCAAGCGUUAAUCGGAAUUACUGGGCGUAAAGCGCACGCAGGCGGUUUGUUAAGUCAGAUGUGAAAUCCCCGGGCUCAACCUGGGAACUGCAUCUGAUACUGGCAAGCUUGAGUCUCGUAGAGGGGGGUAGAAUUCCAGGUGUAGCGGUGAAAUGCGUAGAGAUCUGGAGGAAUACCGGUGGCGAAGGCGGCCCCCUGGACGAAGACUGACGCUCAGGUGCGAAAGCGUGGGGAGCAAACAGGAUUAGAUACCCUGGUAGUCCACGCCGUAAACGAUGUCGACUUGGAGGUUGUGCCCUUGAGGCGUGGCUUCCGGAGCUAACGCGUUAAGUCGACCGCCUGGGGAGUACGGCCGCAAGGUUAAAACUCAAAUGAAUUGACGGGGGCCCGCACAAGCGGUGGAGCAUGUGGUUUAAUUCGAUGCAACGCGAAGAACCUUACCUGGUCUUGACAUCCACGGAAGUUUUCAGAGAUGAGAAUGUGCCUUCGGGAACCGUGAGACAGGUGCUGCAUGGCUGUCGUCAGCUCGUGUUGUGAAAUGUUGGGUUAAGUCCCGCAACGAGCGCAACCCUUAUCCUUUGUUGCCAGCGGUCCGGCCGGGAACUCAAAGGAGACUGCCAGUGAUAAACUGGAGGAAGGUGGGGAUGACGUCAAGUCAUCAUGGCCCUUACGACCAGGGCUACACACGUGCUACAAUGGCGCAUACAAAGAGAAGCGACCUCGCGAGAGCAAGCGGACCUCAUAAAGUGCGUCGUAGUCCGGAUUGGAGUCUGCAACUCGACUCCAUGAAGUCGGAAUCGCUAGUAAUCGUGGAUCAGAAUGCCACGGUGAAUACGUUCCCGGGCCUUGUACACACCGCCCGUCACACCAUGGGAGUGGGUUGCAAAAGAAGUAGGUAGCUUAACCUUCGGGAGGGCGCUUACCACUUUGUGAUUCAUGACUGGGGUGAAGUCGUAACAAGGUAACCGUAGGGGAACCUGCGGUUGGAUCACCU